RNAcentral lists this unclassified non-coding RNA (558 nucleotides) under Anthoxanthum alpinum. Its description in RNAcentral is "partial external transcribed spacer". Lineage: Eukaryota; Viridiplantae; Streptophyta; Magnoliopsida; Poales; Poaceae. The record is from RNAcentral.
CUUUGCCUUUCUAGUGCUUGCGUGAUGUUACCUGACCUAUGGGUAUUGGUGCUUCAUACAUAGUUGCCUCGUGGUGGACGCCUUUGGGUGUGCUGCUGCGGCCAUAUGGCGAUUGCGGCGUUGCCUCGUGGUGCUGGUUCUCGUGCCCGGUGCUAUCAAGGCAGCCUUGCUCUCGCUAUUGGUUUUGGAUGUUGCUCAUGAUAUAUAGCCUCGUGGCCCAUUUGGUUGCCUUUGGGGCCUGACCCUAAGAACGCUCUCCGACUUUGAGAACAUCGUUGAACGAAUGUUGCCUCUACCUUUCCACAGCAAGUGGUAAGAUUACACAGCAUACUCGAUUCCGAUCCCCAAAUAAGUCGGACGAGCAAGACCCUAAGAACGCUCUCCGACUUUGAGAACAUCGUUGAACGAAUGUUGCCUCUACCUUUCCACAGCAAGUGGUAGGAUUACGCAGCAUACUCGAUUCCGAUCCCCAAAUAAGUUGGACGAGCUUGGCCCGCUCAACAGCGACAACCGGCCCGACUGUUGCCUCCGCAUUGCCACGCAAGUGGCGGUGGGUGG